UACAGAGGGGGCAAGCGUUGUUCGGAAUUACUGGGCGUAAAGGGCGCGUAGGCGGCCUGUUAAGUCGAACGUGAAAUCCCCGGGCUCAACCCGGGAACUGCGUCCGAUACUGGCAGGCUUGAAUCCGGGAGAGGGAUGCGGAAUUCCAGGUGUAGCGGUGAAAUGCGUAGAUAUCUGGAGGAACACCAAUGGCGAAGGCAGCACUCUGGGACGUGACUGACGCUGAGACGCGAAAGCGUGGGGAGCAAACAGG
RNAcentral lists this ribosomal RNA (253 nucleotides) under uncultured bacterium. Its description in RNAcentral is "partial 16S ribosomal RNA". It matches the Rfam family "Bacterial small subunit ribosomal RNA", at positions 524 to 776 of the family's 1533-position model. The record is from RNAcentral.